This is a long non-coding RNA of Numida meleagris (helmeted guineafowl), 1045 nucleotides long. RefSeq lists it as uncharacterized. The record is from RefSeq and is a predicted model, not a curated record. Lineage: Eukaryota; Metazoa; Chordata; Aves; Galliformes; Numididae. The transcript has 4 exons.
AACCUUUGGUCUUGGCUAAUCUAGGCAAGGCUGUUUCUAUUCAUGUUUCACUGUAAGCCUGGAUGGCUGUGGCUGUCACAUCCCUGUGCAGGAUGUCGUAGUAGGGGUGGCGUGAAUGGUGCAGGAUGUGCAAUGAAGAAUGAAGCUAUGGUCUAAGCAGCUGGCUUAAGGUGUGGUCCUGGUCUGCUCUGGUCUCACUGAACUUUGAUCUGCCUUCUUAAAUUAUGAGCCUGGACCGUGAAGAUGCCAAUCUCUCAUGGGAGCUCUCCAAUCAAGACCAUUAACAAAGAGCGAUCAAUAGGGGAGAUUUCCAGCAGGCCUAUAGAAGAGACACAAGAAUCAGGGGGACAAAGGAUUGUGCCCGGAGAGGGCGCGUGAUGUCAGUUCUGCACUCAGCCAGAGGUUCCCAACCCCAGUGUGGCAUGGAUCACCAUGCCCCAGCACUGCUGUGGGUGGCCACAGAACCCCAGCCUCGUGCUUCACGUGCUGCCCCAUGCACCAUGCUGGGACCUCUCUUCUUUUAGCUAAGUAUCUAUUUUUACAUUGCCCCCAGGCAUCUUCCUAUGUAGCCAAGGUUAAAAUAAGCAAGAGUGUGCUAGGGGCGUACGAAACAUUUGUCAUCAUGCAGCUUAUAUUCCCCCCCUUGGAUCUUAUUGUUUCAGUUGGAUAUCAGAGUCAUGGGGCCACGAGGUUAAAUCUCUAGCAGAUGCUUUUCAAGUCUGGGGGAGAGCGGGGCCCUGACUGAGUUCUUCCCAGCUCCUACUCAAAGUGGGCGGCCCACGGGUCCGAGGACCCUCCAGAUGUUCAGGCAGCCCGUACACCUGAUGCCUGCUGGCUGCGAGGGGACAGCGCGGCGCUGGGCGGCGCGACCCGCGGGGCGGCCGCAUGGAGCGCUCUAUGAGCUCCGCCGCCGUCCCGUUUCCCCCGGGCGCAGGACGCCCUCGGGGCAGCCGGCGCGGGGAGCUCCGCGCUGCCAGGCGCGGGUGGACACUUCUAGGAGGUGAGAGGUCUGCCCUAUACCCACCCUCCCGUUAACUCACACCGC